AUUUAACUAUUUUAAGUUUGGAAGCUGGAGCUGUCGCCACAAAACAAAGAGGCUAAACUAUUACAUUUUCCUGAAGCACCUUCCCAAUUGGUUGACUCCUGUAAACCCUGUAAAUAUGACGUCUGCAGGAAUUCAGCACGUGACUGGCAGAGAUAUCCCAAAUCACCACUGACUCAAGGCUUUCAGAGCGGAGAUGAAGUGGCAGAUGCAGCUGUGAGCAACACCAAUACCAGAGCUUCAGAGAAAUUUUCAUUUCACCAAAGCAGUGGGUUAACUCUCAACACAUCCUAGUCAGAAAGCCUGAGGUUGUUGAACCUUCCAGAAACCAUCAUUUGCAUUUAUUGGCAAGAACUAAACAGAGAAUGUC
Molecule: long non-coding RNA, 367 nt
Organism: Fundulus heteroclitus (mummichog)
Lineage: Eukaryota; Metazoa; Chordata; Actinopteri; Cyprinodontiformes; Fundulidae
Exons: 3
Source: RefSeq, a predicted model, not a curated record